Molecule: ribosomal RNA, 531 nt
Filed under: Bacillus thuringiensis
Lineage: Bacteria; Bacillati; Bacillota; Bacilli; Caryophanales; Bacillaceae
Description: bacterial SSU rRNA
Rfam family: Bacterial small subunit ribosomal RNA
Source: RNAcentral
CGUGCCUAAUACAUGCAAGUCGAGCGAAUGGAUUAAGAGCUUGCUCUUAUGAAGUUAGCGGCGGACGGGUGAGUAACACGUGGGUAACCUGCCCAUAAGACUGGGAUAACUCCGGGAAACCGGGGCUAAUACCGGAUAACAUUUUGAACCGCAUGGUUCGAAAUUGAAAGGCGGCUUCGGCUGUCACUUAUGGAUGGACCCGCGUCGCAUUAGCUAGUUGGUGAGGUAACGGCUCACCAAGGCAACGAUGCGUAGCCGACCUGAGAGGGUGAUCGGCCACACUGGGACUGAGACACGGCCCAGACUCCUACGGGAGGCAGCAGUAGGGAAUCUUCCGCAAUGGACGAAAGUCUGACGGAGCAACGCCGCGUGAGUGAUGAAGGCUUUCGGGUCGUAAAACUCUGUUGUUAGGGAAGAACAAGUGCUAGUUGAAUAAGCUGGCACCUUGACGGUACCUAACCAGAAAGCCACGGCUAACUACGUGCCAGCAGCCGCGGUAAUACGUAGGUGGCAAGCGUUAUCCGGAAUUAU